AUACGGAGGGUGCAAGCGUUAUUCGGAAUUACUGGGCGUAAAGGGCGCGUAGGCGGCGCAUUAAGUCAGUUGUGAAAGCCCGGGGCUCAACCCCGGAAGUGCAAUUGAAACUGGUGUGCUUGAGUAUGGUAGAGGGAAGUGGAAUUCCUGGUGUAGCGGUGAAAUGCGUAGAUAUCAGGAGGAACACCCGUGGCGAAGGCGACUUCCUGGACCAAUACUGACGCUGAGGCGCGAAGGCGUGGGGAGCAAACAGGAUUAGAAACCCUAGUAGUCC
RNAcentral lists this ribosomal RNA (274 nucleotides) under uncultured bacterium. RNAcentral's name for it is "partial 16S ribosomal RNA". It matches the Rfam family "Bacterial small subunit ribosomal RNA", at positions 523 to 796 of the family's 1533-position model. The record is from RNAcentral.